RNAcentral lists this long non-coding RNA (1446 nucleotides) under Anas platyrhynchos platyrhynchos (common mallard). Its description in RNAcentral is "lncRNA (ENSAPLG00000017424.1)". Lineage: Eukaryota; Metazoa; Chordata; Aves; Anseriformes; Anatidae. The record is from RNAcentral.
AUGGCCUUUCCUCCCCCCUGGCUCCCGGGGUCUCUGGCGCUGCUGGGCCGGCUGCAGCCCCCCGACACCGGGGCGCUGGCACAGCACGGCCCCCGCUCCCGGGCAGCCCCCGCUCCUGGGCCAUGCCCUCCUGUGCCUUACCGGCGCCGCGGGGAGCGUCCUGGUGCCGGGCAGCCCUCCCCGGGCCCUGCCCUGCCCGGCGGUGCCGGUGCCGGUGCCCGGCCCGCAGAGCUGCCCGGCGGUGCCUUGGUGGGGGCGCGCGUCCCUGUCCCUCCCCGGCACGGCAGAGCCAGGGCGCUGUUACUUGAAAAGUUUUAUUUUGCCUUUGUAUGGAGAAAUAUUAUUUGUUGUAAACUCUUCUGUAAUGAAUCUGGAAUUCUUGUAAUUAUUAAAGACUUUAACCAAGCCGCGCCGGAGCCCAGUUUUACCAGUCCCGCGUGCGGCCGGGUCCUGGCCCCCGGUGCUGGGAGACGCCGCGGACCCUCGGCUCCUCCGGGCUCCCCGUUUGGGCAGGAGGAGUUCAAAGGCUGCGAGGAAUGCGGGCUGCUCUGCUGGGAGCUGUUUUUCCUGACCCCAAAAUUCCCUGUACCAAUUCCGCCCCGUUCAGCAACCUUUGCCUCCUCUCCGCUACCAGCGCGCGGUGCCCAUGACGGUGGCGGCGUCACCCCCACGUGUUUCCCACCCCCAGGCUGGACCCCCCCGGCUGUUCCCCCCCGCGGCCGCUCCGUCCCCGGGCAGGGAGCCCCUUCCCAGAGCAGGGGGGGCUCGGCCGGGGGUGCAGCCAGAUGUUCUGGCAGCCGCGUGCACGCCGCCGUCCUCGCCAAAAGCUCGGCGCGCGAGGCCAGCUGGGCUCCAGCCUCCAGCGCUGGGGAUGACCCAGGGACCCUUAACCCCCUCCCCGCCACCCAUCAGGAGCUGCUCCCCGCAAGGAAGACGAGGCUGAGCAGCUGGGUGGCUCCUUGGAGGCCGGGGGGGACAGGUUUGUGUUUUUGGGCCCCCCCUGUCCGGAGGUGCCGGGGAUCUCUCCAGCCGGGCGGCCGCGCGCAGCCCUCCCUCCACCCUGACGUCAGCCCCGGGUCGCUCCCUGCACUUUUUUCGUCUUCUCCUCCUCCCAGCAUGGAUCCGGUGCCAGCUCCAGGCCGUUUGCCUUCAGCUGUGAGCUGCUGCCCGCGGAAACUGCACCGGCCCUGGGAAAGGAACCGGGGAGCAGCGGGCGGUUACGGGCAGCACCAGGAGCCCUGGGGGGGGACGUGUCAGGGGGGUCCCCAGGGCUGGCAGCGUGGCUGGGACCUGACUCACCCACCGCGAGGGCGAGGGGCGAGGGCGAGGGGCUCGCAGCCCCUCUCCUUAGCCAGGAAAUGGUUAAGGCUGCAGGCUCGCGGUGCUCCCUGUCUCCCCGGCCCUUUUAAAAGCAUCUGCUUGUUGCUAUUUCCAUGUGUAAAUUAA